UUUUUCCAGUGGUUUUGACUGACCGUUGACUGAUGCAUCUCAUCAUCAAGGCUCUCAGUUUCUAAUUUUGGUGGUAUUCAACAGUUGCAAAAUUCAUUUAAAUAUAGAUCGACAUAAUAUUUAGGAACUUUAAGACCAGAAGGGUGGAUGAAGAACUCAUUCAUACAUAAUAUCCUUAUAAGUGCACUAAUAAAAUGCAUGAAGCAGACCCGCACUAUAAUUUCUUCAUUCAGAUUGCUUGUGGCAGAUAAAUAGAUGGGUUUCUUUAAGCUAAGGCAAAACUGAGGCUAUGGUUUAUGUGAAACCAAGUUAUAAUUAAGUGUACUACCUCAUUUCCAUUCUAUACUAUAAGAAUUCCAUAGGAGUGUAAUUGGGUUUAUGUGAUAAACUUGAAAAAUAUCCUGGGGAUAUAAAUAAACAAACUGUUCUUCUGUCAUUGGUGUUUGUCAAUGAUAGGCUUUCAAUCCCUUUCUUAUCAGAACAAGUAUAAUUUUGCUGAGUGUUGGUUGCUAAUGAAGAGUGAUGUCUGGAGCAGAGAAAAUUGGCUCAACAUGGUCUCCAAAGAUCUUUACACAGUAGAGGUAACUGAGGCCAACCUUUUGCUGUAUUGGAUCUUCUAUUUAUAAUAUGAAGAGAUUUGUAUGCAUAUCUUGAGUAAUAAUAAAGCUUAUAUGUUGCAAUAGAGAUACACUAAACUAUUUCUUAAACAUUAGUUCAAAAUAUCAACUUUAUAGAGGCAUUAAAGAGCUUAUUUUUACUAUUUCACUUUGAUCAUAUGGUUUAAUUCUUUUAGGUUCUGAAUAUCGUGUCUAAAUACAGGUAUGUCUUUUUCAUAUUCAAUUACCAAAUAUUUCUAUUUUGAAUGUUUAUACUGGCUUUUACUUUAAACUAUAACUUUUGUCUUAACAUCAUAUUUGCAUUUCCUAUAGUUUGACUAGUAUCAUUUUCAAUUUUACGCUUUUCAUGGUUGCUAAUUUUUGGCAUCUAGAAUUAAUAGUAGUAAUUAAAUUUAGAUAAUGAAAUUAAUUACAAUAACAUAUAUGUGUUAAGUAUUUGUAUUUCAAAUUUAGAAGGACUCAUACAAAAAAACCAUCAACAUUGCAAAAAUCUGCAUGCAAUUUCCCAAAUAAAUAGAGACAUAAUUUAAACUUUUUAAAUAAAUUUAAGAAAUCAAAAACUUACAUCUACGAAAAGGGAAUUAUUUUUUGUGAUUUUUUGUUCAAUGAGUUAGAGGGAUCAGAGGAUCACACUGGAAUAUGACAUAAUAUAAAAAAUAAGCAAAAAGUUAUCAAUCAAACUAUUGACCUUCCAAAUAUAAUUUCAUGAACCAAAACUUGAAAAAAAGUAAUAUUUCAAUUCAGAUUGACUCUCAUGAAUCAAACUUGGCCAAUCUACUAUUAUUGUUUUACUUGUGAUUAUUUGAGUAUUAUUGGAGUUAUAAGAAAGAGUGGGAAAAAAAGGGAAAUAUGAUGGCCUCAACUUCAACUGUCCCUAGCAUGCAGCCCUCCCCUGGUCGUGCUGUUGUGGCCCAAGCAUGAACUCACCACAAAUCCUAUUAAUACUUACUGUAGAAAAAGUUAUACAUACAAAUGAUUUGCAUAACUAAAAUGAUGAAUUUCUCGUAUGUCAUUUAUAUAUAUUGUUGUUCAUGUUACCACCAAUUCUUUUUCUUUCUCCUCUAACUAUCAAAAUGAAUGGCAAAUUAACACUGUUUAGGAUGUUGUUUUCUUGUUGAUUAGUUCUCACAUUAGUUCUGUGCUUGUAGUUAAUUUGUGUUUGUUCUGUUCAUUCCCUUUAAUUUAGCUUCUGAUUUCUAUUAUGAUACAGUUUUUGUAUAAUACAUUCUUUUUGUAACUUAAUUUUUCUUAUACUCCUCAAAUUUGUCUGAAGAAAUGAUUUUGCGUUGUUUUAGUUGCCUCUUCACCUACAUUGGCUUUGUUCACUCCAUCAGGUCCUGUAAUACAAAAGGAUUUGCUGAUUUCAAGUGAUUGCUAAACGAGAUGCCAUCAAGCAUCUAUCUUUUCUCAUUCAACCAGCAGUGUUGAGAACUUGCUCUUUCUCGGAGCACAUCUUGUCUCCACCAAUCUACUAUGCAAACCAUCAUCUUUGACAAGACACCUUGAAGGAGGUCAUUUUUAGAUUUACCCAUGAGUGGCCAGUUCUAUUUAUUUGAUUCUUAGAGGUUUUCAGCUUCAUGUGGCAACAAGUUCUAGCUUGAUGAUGUC
This 2225-nucleotide long non-coding RNA is filed under the name Musa acuminata (dwarf banana). RNAcentral describes it as "long non-coding RNA (MACU_LNC008730)". Lineage: Eukaryota; Viridiplantae; Streptophyta; Magnoliopsida; Zingiberales; Musaceae. The record is from RNAcentral.